CACUGACUCACAAGUGGGUGGGCCUUGGACGGCGUAUAUGAUUUUGGACAAAUGAGGUGUUAAAACUAUUCGGAGACAACGGUGGUGGAGAUGUAGCCAUCCAAGCGGACAGCCCUAACUUCCCCGUUUGGGGAGGGGAAGACCGGGGCUGUGGAUAUGGAGGACAGCCGUGUGACGAUAUGCGAGGGAAAAACAAGGGGACCCGUUAGAUUAAAAAUGGACGGGGGCGACGGGACGUCACGAUGCGCCGGCGCCACAAAGCUCAAUACGCAGUUCAUGAAUGCGCUCAUUUGGCUCCCAGCAUGCCGCGCGUCCGGAGGGACCGCUGGUUACCAAGAGCUCAUCUAGACCCUGUGUAACCCACCCUGCUGCAUCUGAGGAGGAAACAAAACCCACUCGCUAAAACACGAAGAUCAAGGCUUCCCCCAACUUCCAGGUUUCUUAUCAGUCUGGAGUUGAGAACCACGUCACCUUUGGACUACGAGUCCAGUGAAGUCCAUUUCCCACAGGACUACAAUAACCACUGUUUUAAUACUGGACAACAUUGCUUAAAUACAUGGAUUCAGCUCAAGCAGCUGUCACUGGAGGCUGAUACAAGAGUCGCCAACGCUGGCUGCUGCAACACAACAUCUUUAUCCGGAUGGCAACAGAAACACAACAGGGGACUCUGAAUCAAGUGGGCAUCCGGCCAUUGUGAUGUUGAAAGUGUAAAAGUGAGUGACAGCAAGUUGGACUGUGUGUAUUGUACAUGGGAACUGCUCUGCACAGCUGUUCUGGAAACAUCUGCGCUAGAUUUUCAUGUAGAGCUUAAAUCUUUUUAAAUUUCUCGCUCACACACACAAGGUUAGAAGAUGACAAAUAGUAGCUUUGAUUCUUUGAAUUCAUUAGUUCAACAUGUUACAUUUAGGUGAGAAUUAAUGCUAGAGUAGAAAAUGUUUUACAUUUACAUUUUGCAUAUUUGUCAAUUCUUCUCAUAACUUUGGAAUCUUAUUUGUUUCAAUUUUUUAGCUAGUAAUUAAAUUUGUCUUGUAAAUUUUGGCUGUGUCAAUCUAGUUGAUGACAAUCUGUGUGAAUUACUUGAAACAUAUCAAAUGAUUUUCCUGGUGCAAUGUCAAAAAUGUUUUACAGAUUUGGUGAUAUCAAAAUCAACUUUAAGUUAAUUCUUCUGAAGAUUGGACUGUUUAUGGUACAUCUUUAAAUGUCAUCAUGUGAAUGUAUUAUUCUGUUCAAUGACAGUAUAAUUGUUCCUCAAAAUGUUUUCUAAUAUGCUAAGUGAUUUGGACUGAAUGCACUGGUGGUAAAUAUGGUUCUUAUGCAGUCUUUGUGUUUAGCUAUGUCAUAUUUUAUCACUUCAUGUACCUUGACACUGAAGCACGAUUUCACUUUUAAUCAAGAGAGCAACUAUCACUGCAGGAGAUCGUUUGUCCAAUCAAAAUUAUAUAAUGUUUAAUGCAUACCUUGUUAUCUAUGCACCAGAUAAUUAGUGUAGUAGGAUGUCUUAAACUUGCACUCUUAGUGUUUGUACACAAGAACUAUUGCUAGGUUUGCACAUUAGCAGCUAAAUGUCAUGGGUUCGGUUUGUGUGUAAGGUAUGUUGUGCUCCUAAUGUGCACUCUAUGAGCACAGGUGCAAUAUGUGCAGUGAUGUUGAAGAAGUGUGUGUUUUAGUUGGUUUGAGUAGAAACAGUGAAUGCAGUCCUUGCUAGUAGAAAUGUAGUCUGCGUUGAUUUAAUCAACAAUUGCAGUGCCAGUCAGAGAUUAAACAUAGGAUGUAUUCCACAUUUCAUGUGUCAGAUCAGCUCCUCUGACAAUGUGAUACAUUGGUGUUCUUGGAUGCACAAGAACUAAUGUGGAGAAUUUGUGAAUAUAUGUUUUUUUUUUGCAGAUAAUACUAUUUAGAGGGAAUAACCUGACAGCAUUAUUAUGUACUAUGAACUACUGCUUUAGCAGUCUUAAAUUGCACUUGAGCUUCUGUGUCCCUACUAUGCAAAUGUUACUUUUGUAGUUACCAUAAUCAAUAAAAAUGUUGUUUGCAAUGAGACAAUAACUGUGUAAAUGUGGAUUUAUCAUGUCAAUCAUUAUUAUUUGCUAUACAUCCUUCCUCUGUGUGUUUAGGCCCUAAAUACUGGCAUUAUAAGGAGUGUCCUUUUCUACUAUUUCUAAGAUGGGUUGUGGACAUUUAUUUGCAGUGGACAUCUGAGAUUACGAUAUCCUCGGAAUGCACAAGUAACACAAAAUGCUUAACAUCUUUUUAAAUCAAAUUGUAGCUCCAAGGGGUUUUAAGUAGCCUAUCAUAAUUGCAUCCACUGUUUUUACAAUAACCAACUUUCUACUGUACAUGCAAUCUAUAAAAUAAGGUUUUGAUAUGUGAAAAGAAGUGCAUGUGAGCUUGACAAUCUGAUGUGAUGACUGAUGCUGUUUGUGUUUUUGAUACAAAAUGUGUUGGAUAUUAAUAUUUGAUAAUUGGUUAUACAAAACAAUUAGCUUAUUCAGCUGAUUUAUUUGGAGAUCUGUUUGAAAGUUUUGAAACAAUAUGUACUAAAUGUAGCUAGUAGCUUAAUAAAAACAGAUGAAUGAACAGUCAAUCUUGUUGGAAAUAAAUGCAUUUUUUGAUUUUGUGAU
Monopterus albus (swamp eel) is the source of this 2621-nucleotide long non-coding RNA. RefSeq lists it as uncharacterized. NCBI's taxonomy places the organism in Eukaryota, Metazoa, Chordata, Actinopteri, Synbranchiformes, Synbranchidae. The transcript has 3 exons. The record is from RefSeq and is a predicted model, not a curated record.